GUUGGUCUUCAACGAGGAAUGCCUAGUAAGCGCGAGUCAUCAGCUCGCGUUGACUACGUCCCUGCCCUUUGUACACACCGCCCGUCGCUCCUACCGAUUGAAUGGUCCGGUGAAGUGUUCGGAUCGCGGCGACGGGGGCGGUUCGCCGCCCCCGACGUCGCGAGAAGUCCAUUGAACCUUAUCAUUUAGAGGAAGGAGAAGUCGUAACAAGGUUUCCGUAGGUGAACCUGCGGAAGGAUCAUUG
This 244-nucleotide ribosomal RNA is filed under the name Calamagrostis nutkaensis. RNAcentral's name for it is "partial 18S ribosomal RNA". It matches the Rfam family "Eukaryotic small subunit ribosomal RNA", at positions 1592 to 1831 of the family's 1831-position model. Lineage: Eukaryota; Viridiplantae; Streptophyta; Magnoliopsida; Poales; Poaceae. The record is from RNAcentral.